UACGGGGGGGGCAAGCGUUGUUCGGAAUUACUGGGCGUAAAGGGCUCGUAGGUGGCCAACUAAGUCAGACGUGAAAUCCCUCGGCUUAACCGGGGAACUGCGUCUGAUACUGGAUGGCUUGAGUUCGGGAGAGGGAUGCGGAAUUCCGCGUGUAGCAGUGAAAUGCGUAGAGAUGGGGAGGAACACCGAUGGCGAAGGCAGCCCCCUGGGCUGACACUGACGCUCAGGCACGAAAGCGUGGGGAGCAAACAGG
Molecule: ribosomal RNA, 253 nt
Filed under: uncultured bacterium
Lineage: Bacteria
Description: partial 16S ribosomal RNA
Rfam family: Bacterial small subunit ribosomal RNA
Source: RNAcentral